This 288-nucleotide ribosomal RNA is filed under the name uncultured bacterium. RNAcentral describes it as "partial 16S ribosomal RNA". The record is from RNAcentral.
CUGCUGCCUCCCGUAGGAGUCUGGUCCGUGUCUCAGUACCAGUGUGGGGGACCUUCCUCUCAGAACCCCUACGCAUCGUCGGUUAGGUGGGCCGUUACCCCGCCUACUGCCUAAUGCGCCGCAUGCCCAUCCCUGUCCGGCCGAAGCCUUUCCUGCCUCCGGGAUGCCCCGGUGGCAUGUACGCGGGUUCACGCCCGUCCGUUUCGGGUCGGGUUCCGUCCCCUCGACGGAGGGCGUAGGUUGCAUACGUGUUACUCCACCGUGCGGCCGGUCCGGCCGGGCGGAAAG